GACGGAGGGUGCAAGCGUUGUUCGGAAUCAUUGGGCGUAAAGCGCGUGUAGGCGGUGGGAUAAGUCCGAUGUGAAAGCCUUGGGCUCAACCCAAGAAGUGCAUUGGAAACUAUCCCUCUUGAGUACGGGAGGGGGAAGUGGAAUUCCUGGUGUAGGGGUGAAAUCCGUAGAUAUCAGGAGGAACACCGGUGGCGAAGGCGCCUUCCUGGACCGAUACUGACGCUGAGGCGCGAAAGCGUGGGGAGCAAACAGG
This 253-nucleotide ribosomal RNA is filed under the name uncultured bacterium. RNAcentral describes it as "partial 16S ribosomal RNA". It matches the Rfam family "Bacterial small subunit ribosomal RNA", at positions 524 to 776 of the family's 1533-position model. The record is from RNAcentral.